RNAcentral lists this ribosomal RNA (277 nucleotides) under uncultured bacterium. RNAcentral's name for it is "partial 16S ribosomal RNA". It matches the Rfam family "Bacterial small subunit ribosomal RNA", at positions 72 to 354 of the family's 1533-position model. The record is from RNAcentral.
CCGGCCGGCCGGACCGGCGCGACGGGUGAGUAACACGUAUGCAACCUGGCCGUGACAGAUGGAUAACCGGGAGAAAUCCCGCCUAAUACAACAUAAUGCCGGGAGGGGACAUCCCCUGCCGGUCAAAGGGGGCGACCCCGGUCAUGGAUGGGCAUGCGGCGCAUUAGGUAGUUGGUGGGGCAACGGCCCACCAAGCCGACGAUGCGUAGGGGUUCUGAGAGGAAGGUCCCCCACAUUGGAACUGAGACACGGUCCAAACUCCUACGGGAGGCAGCAG